UGCUGGCCUGAGUGCAGUGGUGUUUACAACUAAUUGAUCACAACCAGUUAUAGAUUCCUUUGUUCCUUCUCCACUCCCACUGCUUCACUUGACUAGCCAAAA
RNAcentral lists this Y RNA (102 nucleotides) under Propithecus coquereli (Coquerel's sifaka). RNAcentral describes it as "Y RNA (ENSPCOG00000006595.1)". It matches the Rfam family "Y RNA". From Rfam's summary of the family: Y RNAs are components of the Ro ribonucleoprotein particle (Ro RNP), in association with Ro60 and La proteins. The Y RNAs and Ro60 and La proteins are well conserved, but the function of the Ro RNP is not known. The record is from Rfam by way of RNAcentral. Lineage: Eukaryota; Metazoa; Chordata; Mammalia; Primates; Indriidae.